Non-coding RNA from Cordylochernes scorpioides, 8979 nucleotides. The record is from the annotation of a GenBank genome assembly. Lineage: Eukaryota; Metazoa; Arthropoda; Arachnida; Pseudoscorpiones; Chernetidae.
GAUGAUGUUGUACUGUAGGCCUGUAUACAAUGUUUUAAUAUUUUAUAUUGAAGAGAAUUUAGUUUGUCCUUAGACUUUUUGUUUAUGAAUGGAUACCAUACUGAAUAACCAUAAGUAAUUGUACUUCGAUAUAAUGUCUUAUACAAUAUCAGUCUUCGUCUAAAGUCUAGACCCCAUGCUUUCUUUGUCAGGCCAAAUAGGUAUCCACUAGCUCUAGUUACUUUUAUGAUCAUUUCAUUAACGUGAGGCGUAAAGUCCAGUUUGCUUCUGACUCGGUGAUUUUUAAUAGUCACUCCUAGGAUCUUAAGUUCUUCAACCGGUUUAAUUAACUUGCUACCUGAGACUAUUAUAUCGCUAUUGCAUUUAUAUAAAUAUAAUAUUUUUGUUUUUCAUCUGACAAUUUUAAUUUACGACUUUCACACCACUUAUUGAUUUUUCUUAAUACAUUAUCUAUUGUCUUUCUUAGUUGUUCAGGAGUUUUAUUCCAACAUAUUAACGUAAUAUCAUCUGCAUAUCCUAUUGUUUCACAAUUAUCAUCCAGACUAUUAUUCAGUAUCUCAUUAAUAAGAAUAUUCCAUAAUGUGGGAGACAGUGGUCCUCCCUGUGGACAUCCUUUACUUAGUUUCUUAUUAAUUUCAGUUGAGGAAAAUCUAAAUCUUAUUCUUCUAUUAUCAAAGUAUGAUUGUAGAAGUUUUAUCGUUGAAGCCUGCACACCAUCUUCAUCUAGUCUUUUCAUCAAGGCCGGCCACCAUGCAUUAUCAAACGCUGCACUAAUAUCCACUGCAAUUAUUGCUGCAUAUUCUCUUGUUUUAUGUUCUAACGCAAUUUUUAUUAUUUCAGUUAGUGCAGUAAUAGUAGAUUUCGAUCUUCUAAAGCCAUGUUGUCGAUCACUUAGUAAAUUAAAAUCUUCAUAAUAUUUUAUUAUUCUAUUAUUAAUUAUUUUUUCAAAUAUUUUAGAAAUGUUGGAAUUAAGACAUAAAGGUCUAUAAUUUUUAUAGUUAAUAAAAUCUGUUUUUCCAGGUUUCGGAAUAAUUAUUGCCUCUGCUCUUUUCCAUUCAGCAGGAUAGUAUUGUAGGUCCAAACAUUUUUGAAAUAGUUUCACCAAUAUAGGAGCUAUAAAUUGUUUAGUGUGCCUUAUCAUGUUGUUAGAGAUGUUGUCUAUUCCGGGAGAUUUCUUUGGAUUUAAUUUGUCAAUUAAGUCGUUAACUUCAGUAAUCAUAACCAUCGGUUUUUCUUUAUUGAGUAGUUUUAAAUUAUAAUUUCUUAUACUUUUAUGGAUGUUUGUAUCUUCUUCACAUUUAUCAUCUGGAAAUAAGUUAUUCAAUAAUUCCUCACCCUUCUGCAAACAUUCCAUAUCAGUAUUACCCUCCAAAAUUUGCAUAUUUCUCUUCCGAUUAGAUCCACUUUUGAUGUUUUUAUACACCUUAUAUAAGUUUCCAUAAGGGUUGUUCGAUUUGUUUUCCUCCAGAAAAAUUCUCCAGGAUGCUUUCCUAGCUUUUUCUAUUUCCCGUAAAUACUUAUUUCGUAUGCUUUUAUAUAAUUGUUUAAUAUGAUUAGGGCAAUUUUUGUUUCUAUAGUAACAGUUCCUAAGAUAAUGACAGUGAUCCUUUAGAAGCUGUAAAUUCGUAUUCCACCACUUAUUACUAAUAUUAUUUUUUGUUGUCAUAUUAUUAUUUACUUUGAGUGAAUUAUGUGCUGCCUCAAUCAGUAUGUUCGUAAGUUCUUUUACCGUUUGAUCAAUCAUUUCUGGUGUAUCCACUAUGUCUAGUAAGUUUUCAAUUUUUUCUCGUUCAGUACUGUUAAUGCUUGUCCUAAAUGAAAAACUGCCUCUUGCAGUUCGAAAACUCUAUUAGAAGGCAUGGUAUAGGUUAACAAAUAACUAAGGAAUAAAACUGGGGUACAUUUAUAGGGUAGGACUAGCAGACAAAGGAUAAAAAUCAGAUGAAAGAUAGGGUAUUGAUACAUGUUCUUCCAUGUUGUUGUAAAUGGUGAUUCUGAAAUAUUUGCUCGAACCUUAUUCAUUGUUGAUCGUUCAAUUUCGCACUGCUUGUUAUCGUUGGGGAGUGGCGUGUAUAUUUUUUGGGACAGAAUGAUAGGAUUGAAAUGAUUGUCAGGUUCGCAGUUCUUAACAUCGGGGAAGAAUGGCGUAAAUCGCCUUGUUGAAAAAAUGGCAGGGUCUAAAUGCCUGAAAGGCUCGCUGUUUGUGGGUUUGAAUCUUAAUGGCUCUGCUGGGAAUAAUUCGGGUGUGAAAUGCUUAAACGGGAACGUGUAAUCGGGCUUGUGCUUUAUAUGACAUAUUCUAACGGCGGGUGGUGAUAUAUAACGGACUGUUUCUGUAUACAGCUUAAGCUUAUUGACGUGGAUCGUGUCAGUGUCUCUUUGAAGAGGUUGAUUUGGUCGAUCUAUACGGACCACAUUUGGUGAAAUAAUUUCUAAUACUGUGUGGGGUCCUGUGAAAUAUGGCGCGAGUUUCCCUGUAUUGGGGUGGUGAUAUAAUUUAACUAACACUAGAUCACCUACUUCGAAAUGUGAUUGUUUGUCGUUGAUCAUAAAUGGUUUUGUCUUGAAGAUGCUUGUUUUGUGUUCGUGUGUGUGCAAUCUUUCUAGCUCUGUCGAUAUCUGGGUAAGGUGUGUUGUGGUUAGAGAGUUCUGGGGGUAGGAUGCCAAACAUUAGGUAAAUGGGUGGAAAACCUGUGGUAGAGUGUGGGGUUUUGUUAUAUGUGACUGUAACUCUUUUGACCAACUUGGUCCAUGCGAUCUUAGGAUUUUCUAAAUGUAACAGCCUAAGUUUUCCCGUGAGGGUGGCGUUCAGGCGUUCACAUAGACCGUUGGCUUGUGGAUUGUUGCUGGUUAUAAGUAGUGUGUGGAUGUUUCUAUUAAGUAGGAAACCACUAAAUUUUGGCGAAGUGAAGGCAGGGGCUCUAUCCGUAAGAAGGCGUUUGGGAGAGCCAUCCUGUAAUACUCGCUUAAGUACCUGUUGGUAGGUGGUGAUGCUGGUGGAUUUAGAUGGAAAAGUCCACGCGUAGCGCGAAAAAUGAUCGACUACCACAUGGAGGUAUAUUUUGGUGUUGCCAUAUUUGGCAAAUCCUGCUAUGGUGUCUAGGGAUAAUAGGUCAAAGGGUUCUUUGGCUUCCGGAGGUUGACUUAAUUCCCCGUAAGUGGGUCCCAAUGGACGUUUUGUUAAUUGGCAGGUGGGGCAGGUCUUAACCUUUUGUUUAAUAUCUUUUGACAUACCUUGCCAGUAAUAUUGCGUGGAGAUGAGUCGUGACAUUUGUGAAAUACCGGGGUGAUUGUAUUGUGUGUGUACUGUUUGUAAGAGUUGUUGUAUGAGUGGUUUUGGAAUUAUAAUCUUGGUUACACCUUUUCGGGAAACUGUAUGUAAUCCAUUACGAUCAAUGGUCAGGCUAGACUCUCUCGAUGGAGGAGGUUGGUGUGUUUUGAUAAGGGACGCGUCCAAAAAUCCACAGAACGGGUUACGGGACAAAAGAUCCGCCUCAUACUGUUGUUUUCCCUUUAUGUAGCGGACUUCGUACUCGUAACUUGAUAGCCGUAAACUCCAUCGAAACAAUCUGCCGGACGGGUUUUUGAUGGUCUUCAGCCACUGCAAUGCGUGAUAGUGAGAAAAUAUAGUAAACUUUCUGCCCAUCAGAUAGAUGCGAAACUUCUCCACACUCUCAACGAUUGCUAAGCACUCAAGUUCAGAGAUGGAGUAGUUUUUCUCGUGUGGGCGCAAUGUUCGGCUGAAAAACUGAACUGGAUAUACGUUCCCGUCAGGGUGAACCUGUUUGAGAAUGCCCGCUAUACCGAGGGUGGAUGCAUCGCAAUACACUUGGCAUGGCAGGCCUUCUUUGUAAAGGUGUAAGAUGGGGUGUUGUGUGAGGUUCCCUUUUAGGUCAAUGAACGCCUUUUGGCAAGUUUCAUCCCAGAUCCACACGACAUCCUUUUUGAGGAGGUUAUUGAGUGGUGCUCGCAAGCGAGCGUAGUCCGGGAUGAAUUUGUUAUAGACGUUCACAGCGCCUAAAAAGGAUUGUAGUGUUUUUCGGUUGUGUGGUUGUUUAAUGGCGUGAAUGAUGUCGGUGUUGCGUGUGAGCGGUGUGGUUGUACCAGCUGUGAUGGUGUAGCCUAGGAAAUCUAUGGACUGCUUAAAAAAUUCGCAUUUCGCGAAGUUAAGUUGUAACUCCUCUGCUUCGCAAAAGGCGAAAAAUUGUCGCAGGUGGUUUUGAUGUUCCUCCAAUGUGUUGGAGUAAAUGAUGAAAUCAUCAAAAUAAUGUGCCACACAGUCAAGUCCGUGUCUCUGUAGGACCUGACUCAUGGCUCGUUCGUAGAUCUGAGGGCUGGUUUUUAAACCGAAAGGUAAUCGAGUGGGUUGGUAUAACCCUUCGAGGGUGGCAAAUGCUAACAGUGGUCGAGAAUCGGGGUGUAUUGGGACCUGCCAAUACGCAGAGGAUAUGUCGGCCGUGGAGAAAUAUUUGGCCUGUGCGAGGCGGUCGAGGAUAUCCUCGAUUCUCGGGAGGGGAUGGACAUCAGAGCUAAUUAGCUCGUUCACCUUUCUAUAAUCGAUACAAAACCGUUUGGUCUUGUCGCGCUUAGUGACGAGGGUGACAGGGCUCGAGAAAGGUGAAAAAGAUUGCUCUAUAAUGCCAUUCUCUAGCAUUUGUUGGACUUGAUUACGGAUUUCUUGUUGGUCACAUAUCGGAACACGAUAUGGCCGUAUGGUAAUUAUUUUGUCGGAAUUCGUGGGUAUUUUUACUGGUGGAAUCCUUAAGCAUGGUACGUUGAAUUUGUUCUGUGUGAAGAUGUGAUUGUAUCUUUGUAACAGUGUUGUGAAUUGGGGUGUAUAGCGAGUGUCAGGUGUUGUGUUGUAGUAUGCAUGUGGUAAAGGAUUUUGUUGGGUCUUAGUGUGAGUGUCGAGUUCGUGGUGUGGGUUGGUCAUGUGAUAGUUGUGUGACGACGUGUGAUCACCUAUGUGCUCGACAUGUAAGUUGUCCUGCUGUAUGGACAUGUUUUGGGCAUGGUGUUUACAAGUUGAAGCCGUUGUGGCUUUGUUAUUUGAGGGCAUGUAAAAAAGGCAAUUGGCCUUAGUGAAAAAAUGGCAUGUAGAUAAGGGUUUUUUUUUCAAUGAAUGCACGCAAUGGUUGUCAUAGGCGGAAAGUUUGGCUGUAGGGUAAGAUCUUUGUGAUAUCGCCUGACAUUGCCAGUAGGUGCAUACAUUUGGUACAUUGUUAAAAUGGUAGGAUGAGGUAGACAAUGGGGCGCCCAGCUGGAAUAUAGUGCAUUUAUUAAAAACUAUUGCUAAUUUGAAUUUGUGGAGGCUAUUAAGGCUAAGAAUUCCAAAUGGUAACGGUGCAUUCACUACAUGGAAAUUCUCUCUUCGGGAUAUUUGGCCUAUGGUUAGUGGGAAAGACAGUUUACCCAUUGUUUUUGCAAAACCAUCCAGGGUUUGGAGAUCCAGUGAGUGUCUCUUAAAGGUUAAUUUAGGCAGGUGAGUUUUUAACAUAUUGUAGAGAUUGUAUGGCACUAUAUUCAGGCUGGCGCCUGUAUCAAUUAAAAAGGGGCAUGGUAUAUUAGGGGCUAGGAAAAGUUUUACAGUCAGUUGGGUUAGGGAGUCUACCUCAGUCUCGAAAAGUCUGCUCGGCUGGGGUGUCUCUGGCUUGAGAUGGUUGCUGGGGACUCGGGACUGGUUGUUUUGGGACUGAUUGCACUGUCCUGGCACUUUGAUAUCGGUUGCUCGGGACUGAUUGCACUGUCCGUUCUUUUUCAUGGGUCGCCGGGACUGGUCGAUGCCGGCAUUCGCUGUGCCAGUGUCCCGCGCCGCAGAACUUACAGUUGGACGGUGGAAGAGGUGCAUUCCAGGCACCUGGGCGUCGAAGUGUGUUGUGGUACGGACCCGACAUCGUGGGUGGUUGGUCCUCUCUGUGUCGCGUUGUCGGUACACUGGGCCCGUGGAUCCGCUUUACCAGUCGGAACCACUCUCCUAGGUUCUCGGGAGGCACUACGCGGACUAGGCGCUGGUCGGAGAAUGGCAACCCUUCUGUCAGCGUCUCGAGGAUCACCUCCUGCGGGAGUCCUAGUUGUAGCCCCAUGGCGGUUUUCUCCCGGUAGUAGGUCUCUAGGUUGGCUUGUCCAUUAAGCUUCAUGGCGAAAUAUUUCGCAAAGGACGCUUCGCUUGACUCAGGGUAGAGAUCUAAGAGGAUUUGUCUCAUCUGGAAAUAGCUCCGGUCGGCCAGCCGAAGUUUCCUGAAAAGCUCCAGGGGUUGUCGCACCAGGUAGUUUGGUAGACGGAGUAAUUUUUCUCUUUCUUCCAUGGCGGCGUCUUCCAUUUUCCGGUCGAAUGCUUGGGAAAACUGGGUCGCACUGUACGUUCCAUCGAAGAUUGGUAGAUCCGCGCCCGGGGUGCUGGAUCUGUCCUGGGCGAACGCCGCCGCAAUCUGACGAAUGGCAACCGCUAGGGGUUCCGUCUCCUCUCUGCCGGUCAUUUCCUGUCUGCUGCCUUCUUCCCCCCUUUCUUUCGUUGGGUCGUCCUUCCUUACGCCGAUUGAAUCUUGGUUAAUCUCCAUCUCUUUAUCCUGUCGACUAAAUCCGUUUGUCGCAAUAUCGUUGCGGAAUUUCUUGUUGUUGGAUGAGAAUGGUGUAGAUUGUUGGAAGCGCAGUCGUUUGAGUGGAAAGUGAAGCAUACAGUGGGGAAUAACCAGGACACGUGAUGGGGUUUGAAAAAUAAAAGGCAACUGGUCGGAGGAAAGAAAGGCUGAGAAGGCGGAGCGGUUUUUGAUUAUUGGCCUAUAUAUUCACAUGGCGGUGAUUGACUUAGCUGAAAAAGAUGAACGGGGGAGGUCUCUAGAGCAGGUGUUACCUCGGUGGGAGCUAGCUAACUACUAGGUGCUAUCUCGGUGGGAGCGAAGCGACAACUGACAAUUCUUGGUUCUCGAUUUAACACGAGAACCCUUCUUACUUCCCAUUGGUGGAAAGGUGUGACGUGGCGGUUCUCUAUUGGUUGACCUCUGAGGAGUUGCUUCCUAAUUGGUCUACGUUACUUCUUUUGUCUCAAGACAUGUCCCAGCUUGACCAGGAAAUAAUAGUUUGUUGAACCCAACUUUUAUUAGUUCCGCGAUAAUAAAACUGGGUAUAAUUUUGCUAACUUCUAAGCCUCUUUUCUAGGCCUUUCUUCCUCCAAUGUUACCUUGUUUUAUUGAAACAAAUCAUACAUUUUCAUACAUAUAUUGGAUUAGGUUGGCAUCUAAUUGUACAAAUUAUGACAUAUACUAGUAUAUAUUUAUUUAAUUAAAAAGGGAUAGUUUGGAUCAAAAUAUCAUUUAUUUUACCAAUAUUUCAGUUUGCUGAACGCCAACUUUUAUCCAUGUAUUUAAACAUAUUAAUGUGUCUCACACUCUCUCUACAUAUGAAUAUAUUUGAAAUAAUCACAAAUAUAAAUGAAAAUAACGAAAUAUAAGAGUUUUUACAAGAAGAAUAAAUAAAUAUACAAAUUAAUAUUUAUAAUCACCUUGAGAAGUAAAUUAUUAAACGUACAAAAUCGUGGGAAGUUGAGUUUCUUGUAAUUACUUGUUACAAAAACUUUUUGUCUCACGAUUUUUUACUUUAAAUAAUUUAGUUAAAUUCUGAGAUUUAAAAUUUAUUUAUUUAUUCUUUUUAUUAAUGUUUUAAUAGUUUGUUUUAUUUAUAUUACAUUUUUAUUAGUAUUAACAUUAUUAUUAUUUUUUAUAUUUAUUAAUUAUUAUUUUUCAAAUACAUUUAUUUUGAAGGUAUAAUAUAUUUUGAAUUUCUAAACGGUAGGCAGUGAAGCGAAAAAAUCGAGCCUUCCCAAACAAUCUUGUUCCCUGAAGAAGUUUGGCGUAUCACCCCACCAAAUAUUGGAAAGAUCAAAUAUUUGACCCAAAAUAAUAAUUUUAUAAAAUAUAAAUGCUUAUCUUAUAUAAUGUUAUUAUCUCAUUUUCACAUUUGAAAAUAGAUUUUUCAAAUGUGAAAAUGAGAUAAUAACAUUAUAUAAGAUAAGCAUUUAUAUUUUAUAUAAUUCUUAUUUGGGUCACUAGAUGGCAGAGCGCCAUCUAUUGAAACAGAAAUCAACUAAACGUUGAUUUAGCCAGUUCCCUGAUACUCGGCCAAUCCAUUUUCUUGAUAGAUUAAGAAAAGCCAUCCACGAACGCGUUUAUGCUGUUGGCCUUCGUCAUCGUACCACUGCGUCGACUGUCAUCUAAAAAGAACAUGUGCUCCUAGACAAAGAAGGCAUAUCCUGACUAGGAGCACAUGUGCUUUUUAGAUGACAGUGGACGCAGUGGUUACGAGGGUCAACAGCCCGAAAAGCGUUCGUGGAUAGCUUUUCUUGAUUCAUCAAGAAAAUGGAUUGGCCAAAUAUCAGGGAACAGGCUAAAUCAACGUAUAGUUGAUUUCUAUUCCACUAAAUGGCGCUCUGCCAUCUAAAAAGUACAUGUGCUCCUGGUCAGGACAUGACUUCUUUGUUUUUAAUAUCAACACCUGGCUUUAUUAUUAUUAUUUUUCAUAUAUGUUGAUCUAUAUGAAUUAAAACGUGGGUUUUUCUCGCACCGACUUCCACAUAUAGAGACAUAAUCUUCCUAGAUUGAACUAAAUAUGGAGGAAGUCACAUUUUUAUCUAUAUACAAGCCGAAUGACCCAGGCCACGGCCGGGUUUUACCCGAUUAAAUGUUUUUAUUCAAAUAGUAUUCUUUACAAUUAUAAAUUGGUGCCGUAGAUGUCACUCUUGUGAAAAGUCGCACUCCAACUUUGUGCGUUUUUAAAAUAUAAAAAUAAAAUUGUAAAUUUUCUCAACGAUAUUUGAAAAUUGUAUUAUUUUGAUUUUUCAUAUGAAUUUAUUUUAAAUUUGAUAUAUAUAAAUAGCAAGUGAUUACUUGCCCCUACGCGGUCAUUAGGUCACUCAAGGUCACUCUUGUGAAACGUCCCGCUCCACCAAUCCCCGUCGCCCCACGUGGUCCAUCCUUCCCCAACUUU